This 495-nucleotide ribosomal RNA is filed under the name uncultured bacterium. RNAcentral describes it as "partial 16S ribosomal RNA". It matches the Rfam family "Bacterial small subunit ribosomal RNA", at positions 28 to 507 of the family's 1533-position model. The record is from RNAcentral.
GAUGAACGCUGGCGGCGUGCCUAAUACAUGCAAGUAGAACGCUGAAGGAGGAGCUUGCUCUUCUGGAUGAGUUGCGAACGGGUGAGUAACGCGUAGGUAACCUGCCUGGUAGCGGGGGAUAACUAUUGGAAACGAUAGCUAAUACCGCAUGACAACAGUUAUUGCAUGAUAACUGUUUAAAAGGGGCAACUGCUCCACUACCAGAUGGACCUGCGUUGUAUUAGCUAGUUGGUGAGGUAACGGCUCACCAAGGCGACGAUACAUAGCCGACCUGAGAGGGUGAUCGGCCACACUGGGACUGGGACACGGCCCAGACUCCUACGGGAGGCAGCAGUAGGGAAUCUGCGGCAAUGGACGGAAGUCUGACCGAGCAACGCCGCGUGAGUGAAGAAGGUGUUCGGAUCGUAAAGCUCUGUUGUAAGAGAAGAACGAGUGUGAGAGUGGAAAGUUCACACUGUGACGGUAUCUUACCAGAAAGGGACGGCUAACUACGUG